RNAcentral lists this ribosomal RNA (465 nucleotides) under uncultured bacterium. Its description in RNAcentral is "partial 16S ribosomal RNA". It matches the Rfam family "Bacterial small subunit ribosomal RNA", at positions 28 to 507 of the family's 1533-position model. The record is from RNAcentral.
GACGAACGCUGGCGGCGUGCUUAACACAUGCAAGUCGAACGGAAAGGCCCCUUUGGGGGUACUCGAGUGGCGAACGGGUGCGUAACACUUGAGUAACCUGCCCUUGACUUCGGGAUAACUUCAGGAAACUGGGGCUAAUACCGGAUAGGAAUCCUUGCUGCAUGGUGGGGGUUGGAAAGCUUCGGCGGUUUUGGAUGGACUCGCGGCUUAUCAGCUUGUUGGUGGGGUAGUGGCUUACCAAGGCUUUGACGGGUAGCCGGCCUGAGAGGGCGACCGGCCACAUUGGGACUGAGAUACGGCCCAGACUCCUACGGGAGGCAGCAGUGGGGAAUAUUGCACAAGGGGCGGAAGCCUGAUGCAGCAACGCCGCGUGCGGGAUGACGGCCUUCGGGUUGUAAACCGCUUUCAGCAGGGGCGAAGCUUGUGGUGACGGUACCUGCAGAAGAAGCACCGGCUAACUACGUG